UAGGCUUGAAAUCCUACGAAUUUGGAGUAAUUUCCGAAGUGCCCUUUGGGGAAUGUAGUGACAGGUGCUGCAUGGCUGUCGUCAGCUCGUGUCGUGAGAUGUUGGGUUAAGUCUCGCAACGAGCGCAACCACUAUUUUUAGUUGCCAGCAUUAAGUUGGGCACUCUAAAGAGACUGCCUGGGUUAACCAGGAGGAAGGUGGGGAUGACGUCAAGUCCUCAUGGCCCUUAUGCCUAGGGCUACACACGUAAUACAAUGGUGCAUACAAUGGGACGCGAACUCGCGAGGGGGAGCAAAUCUCAAAAAGUGCAUCUCAGUCCGGAUUGGAGUCUGCAACUCGACUCCAUGAAGUUGGAAUCGCUAGUAAUCGUGGAUCAGCACGCCACGGUGAAUACGUUCCCGGGCCU
Molecule: ribosomal RNA, 406 nt
Filed under: uncultured bacterium
Lineage: Bacteria
Description: bacterial SSU rRNA
Rfam family: Bacterial small subunit ribosomal RNA
Source: RNAcentral